CACCUCCCAGUAAGUGACAGUAACGCAGGAGACUUAAGGGUAGGAAUUCAAUGGACACAUCCUUUAGCCAAGAUGUGGCAUUUCUGUCUGUAAUAUGAACACAUCCUUAUAUGACAGGAGUUAGUAAACAUCCCUGAUUCCUCAGGUGGGGACAGUCACAUGCUUGCAGGAGGAUUUUGCAAUGGGGCUGAGCCCAGUGAGGCAAUGACCUUGGAAGCUGCUGUUAGUCACCAUCUGGGCAGGCAGCUACUACAACGUACUGUGUUACCCCUCAGCUCUGGGGUCCUUUGAGCCCCGCAGGCGUGACCUUGCUGACCCUCUCUGGCACCAGGCUGUGGGUGUUCCAGGCCGUCAGAGCUGCUGGGGGACCCUGGAGACAGAGCAGCUUUCCCAGCUGUGUCAUCAUAGAGACAAGGAAGCCGAGGCCACUGUCCGCAGCUGGGGGCACAGUCAGAUUACCAGGAAGAAGUCAGAAGAGGCUGCUGCUCCUUGACCCACGUGCUUCCUUGGGAGCUUGAGAAGCUGCUCCCCCUGGUGCUGCCGCGGGUGCUGCUUACCGGGAAACCCGCGGCAUCCGAGAGGCUCCGCUGUGCUGGGUCUGUCCUGGGUUCUCCCUGCAGGUCAGAUCCGUGUAAGGAAUGCUGGCGGGCACUGCAGUCUGGCAGGAGCUCACUGUGGGGAAGGAGAGGCUGGGCUGGAUCCCAAGGCUGAGCUGUCAGGCUCUGCAGCCCUCCCAGUGCUCAGUUAUCAGGCUCACUACCUCUCAAAGGCCUCUCUUCUCUACGUGGACGUUUGUCUGUCACAGCCGCAAGAUUCUGACAAUAAACUUGCUCUCCAAAUUCCUAAAAUAAUUGGUUGCUCCAGUUUAGCCAGCUAAGACUUCCUUGGAUAAUGACAUAAUCUAGAAAGAUAUUUAACAAAUUCGUUUAAACUGGAAAUUAUUGACUCUACAGUUGAGUCAGAAAAACCACAUUCAAUACACAUUCGCAAUAUUCAGCAGCAGCUCAAUACACAUUGGCAAUAUUCAACAGCAGCGCUGGGUCCUGAGGCUCCAGGGCAGUGCAGGAGCAGGGAUUAGAGGUCUGAGAGGUUUCAUGGCACUUCUCAGGGGAAUACACGGGUUCUGGGUUCUUCCAAGGAACCUCCCUCCGUGCCAGCCACCACCUGGUCCCUGCUGGGGAAAUAGUGGUCCAGGGAGCCCUCAACUGUAGGGAAAUUACUGACCCUCCCGAUGUCACCGCAUCUCCACUGGGUCUUCUUUUAUUCAUUCUUUCCCCUAGAAAACACCUUCUGACACACUCCUGCUCUGCCUGUCUGUCCCCUGCUGCAGCCAGACAGCACGAAAGAAGUCCAGUGUCUGGACUGUUUGCUGAUUUGCAGAACCUGUUCUCUCGCAGUAUCUGUUUUCCAAUGCAGAUUUUCACGGUCCCCUAAAGAAACUUAAAAUUCCAUUCCCAGAACGACUUCAUUUCCUGAUACCCAGCCCAAAUUCACUUGUGUUUGGAGCCAAUGUGGCAACACAGCCACUUGGGUGGGGUGAACAUCACAGCCCACAAUUCUGCACUUCAGAUUUGGGUUUAUCUUAGGACUUAGUGCAACUUUGCAUUUGGCAGAGGCCUUUCUCUUUUGUAGCCCUUGCCACCAACCUCAUCGUGUAAUUACUUGUGAAAGUCUGCUUCAUGCCUGUGUGCUCAGCAGAUGAGAGACCUUGAGGCCUGGGAAGAUCCCGCCCUCCCUGGCUCUGUAUUCCGAGGUAGUGCAUUGCCUAGUGGAUGGUUAAUUUUAGGUGUCAACUUGACUAAGCUGAGGGAAACCCAGAGAGCUGAUACAACAUGCUUUGUAAGUAUGUCUGAGAGGGAGGAUCCAGAAGAGAUCAGUACUUGAAUCAAGGGACUGAGCAGGGAAAAUCCACGCUCCCCAAAGUGCUGAGGGCCCAGAUAGAACAAAAAGGCAGAGGAAGGGUCAAUUCUUUCCUUAUUCUGGAUCUGAGACAUCCAUCUUCUCCUGCCCCCAAACCUCAGAACUCCAGGUUCUCAGGCCUUUGGACUCUGGGACGUACACCAGGAACUUCCCUGGUUCUCCAGCUUGUAGACGGCAGCAGGACUUCUCAUCCUCUGCAACCACAGAAGCCAAGUCACAUGAAACCCCCCCCCUCACCCCUCUCUCUGUGUACAUCCUAUGGGUUCUGUUUCUAUGGAGAACUCUAAUACAACUGGCAAAGACUAGCAUU
Long non-coding RNA from Cercocebus atys (sooty mangabey), 2230 nucleotides. RefSeq lists it as uncharacterized. The record is from RefSeq and is a predicted model, not a curated record. The transcript has 2 exons. Lineage: Eukaryota; Metazoa; Chordata; Mammalia; Primates; Cercopithecidae.